RNAcentral lists this transfer RNA (68 nucleotides) under Candidatus Woesearchaeota archaeon. RNAcentral's name for it is "tRNA-OTHER". It matches the Rfam family "tRNA". From Rfam's summary of the family: Transfer RNA (tRNA) molecules are approximately 80 nucleotides in length. Their secondary structure includes four short double-helical elements and three loops (D, anti-codon, and T loops). The record is from RNAcentral. Lineage: Archaea; Nanobdellati; Candidatus Woesearchaeota.
AGCCCCGUAGUGUAGCGGUCAAUCAUCUCGCCCUCUGGNNGACCUCGGUUCGAAUCCGGGCGGGGCUA